CUCAGAACGAACGCUGGCGGCGCGUUUAAGCAUGCAAGUCGAGCGGCAAGGGCCUUCGGGCCCCUAGAGCGGCGGACGGGUGAGUAACACGUGGACAAUCUGCCCCCCGGCCCGGGAUAGCCCAGGGAAACCUGGAUUAAUACCGGAUGAGACGGGACCCGCGAUGGCGGGACCCGGGAAAGGCGCUGCGGCGCCGCCGGGGGAUGAGUCUGCGUCCCAUUAGCUAGACGGCGGGGUAACGGCCCACCGUGGCGACGAUGGGUAGCCGGCCUGAGAGGGUGGACGGCCACAUUGGAACUGAGACACGGUCCAGACUCCUACGGGAGGCAGCAGCUAAGAAUCUUCCGCAAUGGGCGAAAGCCUGACGGAGCCGACGCCGCGUGAACGAAGAAGGCCGUGAGGUUGUAAAGUUCUUUUCGGGAGGGGGAACAACCGUGGCAGGGAAUGGCCGCGGGAUGACGUGAAUCCCGGAAUAAGCCCCGGCUAACUACGUGCCAGCCGCGGC
Molecule: ribosomal RNA, 505 nt
Filed under: uncultured bacterium
Lineage: Bacteria
Description: bacterial SSU rRNA
Rfam family: Bacterial small subunit ribosomal RNA
Source: RNAcentral